Molecule: long non-coding RNA, 1399 nt
Organism: Brassica napus (rape)
Lineage: Eukaryota; Viridiplantae; Streptophyta; Magnoliopsida; Brassicales; Brassicaceae
Exons: 3
Source: RefSeq, a predicted model, not a curated record
GAAUCAUUGUAAAGAGAUGCCCAAGAGGAAGAAGAUAUAGCCGUUUAGAGAGAGAGAUUGAUCUUGGCUUCAACGGGACGAUUUUGAAUCCGAAAUUGAAAUUAGAGUUUUGAAAAAAUUAAGAUCUCUCAUGGAUGAAGAAUCCGAUUUGCUGAUGUUUAAUGGUUUCUUUGAGAAAAAGCAGAGCAGAGACUUAGUAUUAGAGAUAUGUUGGGCCGGAAGAUAUGUAUCUUACGGACCAAGUCUGUGAAGCCUGUGAAACCCAUGAAGACCCUCAAGAAUAAAAGGAAAGAUUUGAAGAACAAGUUACUCUCAAAAUAUUUUAGCAUAUUUACAUUAAGUGUUUAGGAAAGUUAGCAUUAUCUAGUGUUAACAUUAUGUUAAUGUUACCACUAUAUACAUGCAUAUUGUAUUCUCUUAUUAAACACAAUACAAUAAUAUAUCUAUUCUAUUAUAUUUUACAUGGUAUCAGAGCAGACGAUUCGUAGGGAUCAAAAUUAAGCUUUCGCGUUAUAAGUUUUAAACUUCGAAGAUGCUUACCAUCGGUGGUGUUGAUGAUGGCAAAGAAGGUGGUGACGACGAUUCAGACGAAGACGUCAACGUAUACGUCAAGUUCUCUCAUUAGGGAUACUUCUUAAUAAUAAGUAUUAGGGUUUUGUUAAGUACGUUAUCUAAGUCAAAGGAUUUUUUAUUUUUUUUUAUUUUGGUGAAUGCUUGAGAAUUAUUGAGGGUUAAGGUUUGUAGUUUCACAUGGGUUAUUUUCUAUCUGAGAUUUUUCUAUAGUUUAGAAUUUCUCAACAGUUGUUUUCUCAUGGGAUUUAUUGGUUAUAGUUUAACCAUUACAGGGGAGUUCUAGUUGAACGUUCAAAUUCUUAGGUCAGUUUUUUUAGUCCGUGUUAUGGACUGUCCAAGUCAAGGAUAAUUGUUUAUGGAGCUGCAGUUGCGCCCACGAGAUGUAUUCUCAUUGUCAAGACCGAAGAAGAGCUGAAGAUUUCAUCCCUCCUUGUCUAAGUUGAAGUUUAUUCCCGAAGGAAUCUACUGAUUUGUUUUCUUCGACAUAGUGUCCACGACAUACGUGGUCUGCUUUGUGAUUGCAGAUUUGCGUGUUGCAUCCCACGUUUGUCGUGCGGGGGAGUAUUAGAGAUAUGUUGGGCCGGAAGAUAUGUAUCUUACGGACCAAGUCUGUGAAGCCUGUGAAACCCAUGAAGACCCUCAAGAAUAAAAGGAAAGAUUUGAAGAACAAGUUACUCUCAAAAUAUUUUAGCAUAUUUACAUUAAGUGUUUAGGAAAGUUAGCAUUAUCUAGUGUUAACAUUAUGUUAAUGUUACCACUAUAUACAUGCAUAUUGUAUUCUCUUAUUAAACACAAUACAAUAAUAUAUCUAUUCUAUUAUAUUUUA